GAGUAAUGUCUGGGAAACUGCCUGAUGGAGGGGGAUAACUACUGGAAACGGUAGCUAAUACCGCAUAACGUCGCAAGACCAAAGAGGGGGACCUUCGGGCCUCUUGCCCUCACAUGUGCCCAGAUGGGAUUAUCUAUUAGGUGGGGUAACGGCUCACCUAUGCGACAAUCCCUAUCUGGUCUGAGAGGAUGACCACCCACACUGGAACUGAGACACGGUCCAGACUCCUACGGGAGGCAGCAGUGGGGAAUAUUGCGCAAUGGGCGCAAGCCUGAUGCACCCAUGCCGCGUGUAUGAAAAAAGCCUUCGGGUUGUAAAGUACUUUCUCCGGGGAGGAAGGUGUUGUGGGUAAUAACCCCACCAAUUGACGUUACCCGCACAAAAAACACCGGCUAACUCCGUGCCACCAGCCGCGGUAAUACGGAGGGUGCAAGCGUUAAUCUGAAUUACUGGGCGUAAAGCGCACGCACGCGGUCUGUCAAGUCGGAUGUGAAAUCCCCGGGCUCACCCUGGGAACUGUAUUCUAAACUGGGAGGCUGGAGUCUCGUAUAGGGAGGUAUAAUUCCAGGUGUAGCGCUGAAAUGCGUAUAGAUCUGGAGGAAUACCGGUGGG
This 612-nucleotide ribosomal RNA is filed under the name Pantoea agglomerans. RNAcentral describes it as "bacterial SSU rRNA". It matches the Rfam family "Bacterial small subunit ribosomal RNA", at positions 108 to 716 of the family's 1533-position model. Lineage: Bacteria; Pseudomonadati; Pseudomonadota; Gammaproteobacteria; Enterobacterales; Erwiniaceae. The record is from RNAcentral.